AGUGAGUAACACGUAUCCAACCUGCCGUCUACUCUUGGACAGCCUUCUGAAAGGAAGAUUAAUACAAGAUGGCAUCAUGAGUUCACAUGUUCACAUGAUUAAAGGUAUUCCGGUAGACGAUGGGGAUGCGUUCCAUUAGAUAGUAGGCGGGGUAACGGCCCACCUAGUCUUCGAUGGAUAGGGGUUCUGAGAGGAAGGUCCCCCACAUUGGAACUGAGACACGGUCCAA
This 229-nucleotide ribosomal RNA is filed under the name uncultured bacterium. Its description in RNAcentral is "partial 16S ribosomal RNA". It matches the Rfam family "Bacterial small subunit ribosomal RNA", at positions 106 to 334 of the family's 1533-position model. The record is from RNAcentral.